RNAcentral lists this ribosomal RNA (483 nucleotides) under uncultured bacterium. RNAcentral describes it as "partial 16S ribosomal RNA". It matches the Rfam family "Bacterial small subunit ribosomal RNA", at positions 30 to 507 of the family's 1533-position model. The record is from RNAcentral.
UUGAACGCUGGCGGCAGGCCUAACGCAUGCAAGUCGAGCGGAUGAAGGGAGCUUGCUCCUGGAUUCAGCGGCGGACGGGUGAGUAAUGCCUAGGAAUCUGCCUGGUAGUGGGGGAUAACGUCCGGAAACGGGCGCUAAUACCGCAUACGUCCUGAGGGAGAAAGUGGGGGAUCUUCGGACCUCACGCUAUCAGAUGAGCCUAGGUCGGAUUAGCUAGUUGGUGGGGUAAAGGCCUACCAAGGCGACGAUCCGUAACUGGUCUGAGAGGAUGAUCAGUCACACUGGAACUGAGACACGGUCCAGACUCCUACGGGAGGCAGCAGUGGGGAAUAUUGGACAAUGGGCGAAAGCCUGAUCCAGCCAUGCCGCGUGUGUGAAGAAGGUCUUCGGAUUGUAAAGCACUUUAAGUUGGGAGGAAGGGCAGUAAGUUAAUACCUUGCUGUUUUGACGUUACCAACAGAAUAAGCACCGGCUAACUUCGUG